Molecule: long non-coding RNA, 966 nt
Organism: Esox lucius (northern pike)
Lineage: Eukaryota; Metazoa; Chordata; Actinopteri; Esociformes; Esocidae
Exons: 2
Source: RefSeq, a predicted model, not a curated record
UUGUUUUGGUUUAUAAAAACAGAAUUUAUCAAACAAAACGACGCAUGGUUAUAUCUCUGGGACCAUCAAGAUAAGAACUCAGAAGAAGACCGCUCAUUGUGCGGCCCAGGGUUACAGAGGCCAGAGAUACCUGAUCCAGCACUGAUAGACAGCCAAUAAAAACUCAAAAAGAGAUUUAUCCAGAGUUCCCCGGGGCAGGAGACGGACAAGGCAUCAAUACUCUCCUGAUGACACAGCUGAGGAGGUGGGAGGAGGUCGAUACUCCAUGUUCAAUCCUCCUGGUCCACCAUCUCUCCUCCACUUAGUUUUUCUGUCUCCUCCCCUGAUGGAGGGAUCGAUGGAAGGAUGGCAACCGGAGAGGGGUUUUAGAGUGACACCGUGACUUUGCCCAGACAUUAGAAAACACAGCAACGCGGGUAGCAACUUAAUGGCACUGCUCUGACUUUGUGUCUCUCAUGAGUGUCUGUAUUGACUGUAUAUGCCCGUUAAUGUUGUUCUUUGUAUGUAAAGCAACGAGCAGAGUGUUGGUAAGCGCAGUCAGAGUUUUUAACUGCUCAGUGAGUAGAAAGCACUUCACACGGCUACUUAAGAGAAAAUCUAUACCAGCUUCUAUACAUUAAGUCUUAAGGGACACUGGGAGUGUGUGUGGGCGCGAGAAUGUGUACGAAUGUAUGGACCAUGGGCUGUGGUCUCUAUAACUUCUGGUCUUUCUAGUUUUCUAUCUUCCUCUAUCUUUCUCUCUAAUCUGAUCAGAUGAGUGUGGACUGUGGCAUCAGGUGUUGUUGUGUGCUGUUGGUAAUAAUCUGUCAGACACAGACCAGUCUCUAAUAUUCCAAUAAAUCACCUUGGGAUUUCUCAGAGAAGCGAAUGGGAUUCUGUCAGGCCGGCUGGAAUUCAGAAACACAUUUAUCUGAUUUGUUUCUGUGUUGUGGUUUAGUGAGGCAUAAAAAGUACGUCCUGACUGCC